GGGUGUCACAGAGCCUGCCGCUCUGUCAGACUCACCUUUGUCUUCUCUGUGAGAAGGACCAGGCUCCUGAUUUUUGGCUGAUUUUUCAGUCAAGCCCAGAUGGAAAAUUUUAGAAAGGGAGGAGGCUUCAUUUGGAUUUUUAAUUUCUGCUGCAAUCUCAGAAUCCUGGGUCCCUUUUGGGACCUAAGCCCCAUCUCCUGGCAGGAUUUUCUAUCACCGGAAUACGGUAGAUUUUUCCCUCCUUUUUUUUUUUUUUUUUUUUCCCAGCACCUUAACUCUCAGCUUCCCAGACUUUCUCCAAUGACAGAGCUGGGUGGGUGGAGGAGGAGAGGGGUUGCAAGAAAGCUUGCCGGCUGGGGUGAGGAGACUGUGUGUGGAGCAGGCGUGAGCGUGGGCCGCGUGGGAGAGAAUGCGAGGCUGCCGUCAAGCCCAGCGUCCACACGAGGAGGCCUGCGAUGGCGUCUGAGGGAGCAAGGGAAAGGCGAGGGCCGGAGCCCAAGAGGAAGCCUCAGAGAGGACCAGGAACCAGGACACACCUCAGCCAUCCUGUGAGGGGCAGCCCAGUGGAGACUUCCAGCCGCCCUGGAGGUCCUUGCACCGAAGACACUUCACCUACCCCAGGGAGAGAAGCAGAAAGGCACUUCGCCACUGUCUCCAUCAGUGCUGUUGAACUCAAAUACUGCCAUGAGUGGAGGCCAGCAGGGCAGCGUGUCCCUAGCAAGACAGCGACUGGGCAACGCACCUGUGCCAAACCCUGCCAGAAGCCCAGCACGUCCAAGGUGAUCCUGAGGGCUGUGGCGGACAAGGGGACCUGCAAGUAUGUGUCCCUGGCCACCCUGAAGAAGGCUGUUUCCACCACGGGCUACGACAUGGCCCGAAAUGCCUAUCACUUCAAGUGUGUGUUCAAGGGGCUGGUGGACAAGGGCUCAGCAGGUGACCAGCAGGGGGGCCUCAGGCUCCUUCACCCUGGGCAAGAAGCAGGCCUCCAAGUCCAAGCUCAAGGUCAAGAGGCAACGACAGCAGAGGUGGCGCUCUGGGCAGCGCCCCUUUGGACAGCACAGGUCACUACUGGGCUCCAAACAGGGGCACAAGCGGCUUAUCAAGGGGGUUCGAAGGGUGGCCAAGUGCCACUGCAAUUAAUGAGGCAGGCCAGGCAAGCAGUCAGGGGUGCCAAGACCGCCAUUGGCUCAGUGCAGUGGGAAUAAAAGGAACCUAACUUAUUUCA
RNAcentral lists this small RNA (1225 nucleotides) under Pan troglodytes (chimpanzee). Its description in RNAcentral is "processed transcript". Lineage: Eukaryota; Metazoa; Chordata; Mammalia; Primates; Hominidae. The record is from RNAcentral.